GAUGAACGCUGGCGGCGUGCCUAAUACAUGCAAGUCGAGCGAACGGACGAGAAGCUUGCUUCUCUGAUGUUAGCGGCGGACGGGUGAGUAACACGUGGAUAACCUACCUAUAAGACUGGGAUAACUUCGGGAAACCGGAGCUAAUACCGGAUAAUAUUUUGAACCGCAUGGUUCAAAAGUGAAAGACGGUCUUGCUGUCACUUAUAGAUGGAUCCGCGCUGCAUUAGCUAGUUGGUAAGGUAACGGCUUACCAAGGCAACGAUGCAUAGCCGACCUGAGAGGGUGGUCGGCCACACUGGAACUGAGACACGGUCCAGACUCCUACGAGGGGCAGCAGUCGGGAAUCUUCCGCAAUGCGCGAAAGCCUGACGGAGCAACGCCGCGUGAGUGAUGAAGGUCUUCGGAUCGUAAAACUCUGUUAUUAGGGAAGAACAUAUGUGUAAGUAACUGUGCACAUCUUGACGGUACCUAAUCAGAAAGCCACGGCUAACUACGUG
This 497-nucleotide ribosomal RNA is filed under the name uncultured bacterium. RNAcentral's name for it is "partial 16S ribosomal RNA". It matches the Rfam family "Bacterial small subunit ribosomal RNA", at positions 28 to 507 of the family's 1533-position model. The record is from RNAcentral.